Molecule: unclassified non-coding RNA, 5001 nt
Filed under: Lingula anatina
Lineage: Eukaryota; Metazoa; Brachiopoda; Lingulata; Lingulida; Lingulidae
Description: probable 2-oxoglutarate dehydrogenase E1 component DHKTD1, mitochondrial, transcript variant X2
Source: RNAcentral
CAACAAACGAGGUCACCGAAUCGGCACACAUCAGGACACACAGAUGUUGUCGGCGUGUAAAUUAUCAUCACGUCAGUGGCUGUCGGGUUUGUCAGCAUACUUUAGACGUUCACCGGGAGCCUGCUAUCACACCAAGCAUUCCGUAUACGGAUAUAAACUGCCAACUCAGACACAAGAAAACAACGAGCUUGGUUCUAGCUCAGAAGACCCCAUUUUGAUCCAAAAUCAGAUAGAAAACAGCAAUUUACUGAGAUUGGUGACAGCAUAUCGAAGACAUGGACACAGAAAGGCAGCCCUUGAUCCCCUAGGGAGACUUAAACCACAGGAAUGUGCAGAAUUGGAUCCUGUCUACUAUGGGUUAGGUGAGGCUCAGUACACUGCUCACAAUCUUUAUGGCAUCCUGCACAGUGGAUCGGAGUCUGCCACCACUGAAGAGGUCUUGCAGUUCUUGGAGCAAACUUACUGUGGAAACAGUGCAGUGGAAUUUGAACAUUUGCCUUCACUGGAAGAGAGGAACUGGUUUGCCAAAAGAUGGGAAGAAAGCCAAUUUGAAGAAAUUUCAAAGGAUAAAAAGAUUGCAUUAGCAAACCUUAUGCUCAAAUGUCAGGCUUUUGAUCACUUUCUUCACACUAAAUUUUCCACUGUGAAGCGGUAUGGAGGUGAAGGAGCAGAGAGCAUGAUGGGAUUUUUCCAAGAAAUAUUUGAAAGAUCUGCUGAGUAUAACAUUCAGGAUGUUAUAAUUUGUAUGCCCCACAGAGGAAGACUAAAUUUGCUGACAUGCAUGCUCAAAUUUCCACCAGUGCAGAUGUUUCAGAAGAUGAAAGGCAUCAGUGAAUUUCCUCCUGGUGUGAAAGGCAGUGGGGAUGUCUUGUCUCAUCUAACUUCUUCAGUAGAUUUAGAUUAUGGUGAAAAGAAGAUCCAUGUCACAAUGAUUCCAAAUCCAUCUCAUCUGGAGGCCAACAACCCAGUAGCUGUUGGUAAAGCCAGAGGAAGACAACAGACACUUAAAGAUGGAGAUUACUCUGAUGACCCAGCUGCUGUGAUGGGGGAUAAGGUGCUGUGUCUACAAGUCCAUGGAGAUGCAUCAUUCUCUGCACAGGGUGUGGUUGCAGAAACCUUUGUGAUUGCCAACACUCCACAUUUCACUGUGGGAGGAAGUGUGCACCUCAUAGUCAAUAACCAGCUGGGAUUCACUACGCCAUCUGAGAGGGGAAGAUCAUCUCUGUAUUGCAGCGAUUUGGCAAAAAUGAAUGAUUGUCCCGUGAUACAUGUAAAUGGAGAUUACCCUGAGGAAGUAAUUAGAGCUACCCAGCUUGCCAUGGAAUACAGACAGAAAUUUAGAAAAGACAUUGUGAUAGAUCUCAUCUGUUAUAGAAAAUGGGGCCAUAAUGAGUUAGAUGACCCCUCGUUUACCCAGCCACUUAUGUAUGAAAUCAUCAAGAACAGAGCCAGUGUACCAGAUCUCUAUGCAACGAAUAUUGUAGAAGCAGGUCUUUGUUCUAAGGAGGAGUUGGACUCAGCAGUAGCCAGUUGGAACAAAGAACUCAUUGAUGAAAUGACCAAUAUUGAUACUCACAUUCCCAAGGCAUAUCACUUGGAGAAGCACUGGUCAGGCUAUGUCCAAGCACCUGCCAGUCUAACAACAUGGGACACUGGGGUGCCCACUGAUCUCCUGAAGUAUAUUGGUGCUAAGUCUGUGGCAGUACAGGAUGAUGUGGCAGUUCAUAAUACGCUAUCUAAGCAUCACAUUGGCAAGCGUGUUCAGCAGAUAGAGGAUGGGUCUAAUUUGGACUGGGCAACUACUGAAGCCUUGGCUGUAGGCUCUUUACUUUUGCAAGGUUACAAUGUGAGAUUUUGUGGACAGGAUGUAGGGAGGGGCACUUUCAGCCAUCGUCACAUGAUGCUGGUCGACCAAUCGCAUGAUGGGAUUUUCAUUCCUCUUAACCACAUGACGGAACAUCAAACGGGCUUUCUUGAGGUCUGCAAUAGUGCUCUUACGGAACUUGCAGCUCUUGGCUUUGAAUAUGGUAUAAGUAUAGAAAAUCCUACAUCCUUAGUCAUUUGGGAGGCGCAGUUUGGAGAUUUUUUCAAUGGAGCUCAAGUUAUAAUUGAUACAUACAUUGCCUCCGGUGAAACCAAAUGGCUCCUACAGAGUGGCUUGGUGAUGUUGUUACCCCAUGGUAUGGAUGGUGCAGGCCCUGAGCACUCUUCUUGCAGAAUUGAAAGAUUCCUACUGCAAUGUGAUAGCAAGGAAGAUGGUUUUGAUGGGGAUGAUGUCAACUGGCAAAUUGUAAAUCCCACAACACCUGCCCAGUAUUUUCAUCUCCUCAGGAGGCAGAUGGUGCGGAAUUUCAGAAAACCCCUUAUUGUGGCCUCUCCUAAGAUGAUAUUGCGGCUUCCUGCAGCUACGUCAAGCUUGUUGGAUCUGGCACCAGGCAAGACAUUCUGUCCAGUACUGGGAGACAAUGAAAUAGAUGGCAGUGCUGUCAAGAGGGUAGUGUUCUGUUCUGGGAAGCACUACUAUGCCUUGCAUAAACAGAGAGAAACAGUUGGAGCUAAAGAUACUGCACUUAUCAGACUUGAGUGUCUCUGUCCAUUCCCAGCAGAAUCUCUUAGGCAAGAAUUGAACAAAUACAAAAGUGCUACAGAAUUCAUUUGGAGUCAGGAGGAACACCAAAAUUCAGGAGCCUGGUCCUUUGUAGCACCAAGAUUUGAAAAAGUUGUCGGCUGCAAGCUGGCAUAUGUUGGACGUGGACCGCUGGCAGCACCUGCAGUCGGCAUUGGACAAGUGCACCAGAGAGAAGUUCUGGACAUAUUGGAAAGAACAUUUGCCAAAAACAAAUAAAACUAUUUCAGAGAAAGGUGCUGAUAAAAUGGGUUUAAUCAUCAUAAUUAUGAUAUGCACUGUCAGAAGAACAUAUCCAGUGAAAUACAUCCAAAAUGUUUCAAGUAAUGUGUAAGAUUGAUGUAAGAUGUAGAAAGUAUUAAGCGCUUAGGAUAAAGCAUUGUAACAACAUUCAGUAUUACAUUUUUAAAUUAUUUAACAAUAAUUUAUCAGUCACAAAUUCAGACUUACACAUUUGAAAUGUUUUAAAAUAAAUUAAGCAUCUGUUCUGAUUCUCAUACAAGAUACAGCACUAAAUGAAGGAAAGGUUGUGAUUAGGGAAAUUUUACCAUGAAGUCAGAUAUUUUAUGCAUAAUAUCUUUAAACAUUAAGUAAGGUAUAUUAUAGUGUGCUUCUAAAUUCCUGGUUUUGCAAUCUCAUGUCAUGAACUGAAAAUCAUGUAACUUUUAUUUAUUGUGAUUGGCAUUUUGGGGAUGGAUUCACUCUUUUUUAUGUUCAAUAAUAUGUGCUUAUAAAGAACACAAUGCACAUUUUUCUUGUUUUUUAAAUCUCAGAGGUGCAUUUUUCUUCAUCAGAUGAACACAAUUCAUAUGCAGUUUGCAUCUUAAUUCUAGCAGAGACUUCUUGCAUCUGGAUGCAGAUACCCAUUAGCCAGUGAUGGUGAAGUGGGUUGUUCCUGUAUCAUAGAUUUUACUAUGAGGAUGCAAGCUUCCACAUUCACCAUUGCAAAGUGCUGAAAAUCAAAUCACUAGAGAUGACCAUAGAUAUCACUGACCGUUGCUUUUGUCUGAGUUUGUACAUGAAAUGUUUUGAAAAUGUGCACUGGCAGGGUUGGUCCAAUCUGUGUUUUAACCGAAAAGAAAUGACUACAUUGAAAAUGUCCAUGUUCCUUAAUUUUAAGGUUAAAAAAUUUGGCUUUCAUAGGUGCUGAACUCUUCUCCUGGUUGGUGAUAUUACUUAUUGACGCUUGUGACUAAACGUAAUUAAAUAUAGUUGUGCGAGAUUCCUUACAAAAUUAGUAUCUUACUGAGUGACUAAAACUAAAAGGAGGCACUUUUAGUUUAUGACCUUUCUUGGAAGGGGAAAUGAUUUAUUUCGUCCCUCUUUUUCAAAGAUGUACAGCAAUUUGAGCGAGUAAUGAUCAUUUAUGCAUUUUGCAUUCCCCUCAUAAUAUACAGUAACACCUUACGUUAGAUAUAACAUUGUUUGAUGUACGUAUGAUGCUGUUGUCGAGUGCUUAUGUUCAUUUUAUUUCUUGUUAUAUAGAGUUGCUGCAGAAAUUGGUCUCAAAGAAGGCCAAUCUAUAGAAUAUUAUUUUACUAUUGUGACAAGGUUAUAACCCCGGUCGCGUAGACAUAUUUGUCACCAUACAUCAUGGACAACAGUUUAUAUUAAAUCAAAAAUUAAAAAUAACAAUGAAGAUAGAUAUAAGAAAUCAAAUGUUAAUGGAGUAAAUGAUGAUGCUCAUACAUACGGGGAGUAGCGUUGUACAGGAUGAAAUAUAUUUGUACGGACCUCGGGCUAUCGAUUGCAAUUGCAGAUAUAUAUAAGAAAAUACAUAUACAUCCAUAUGAAGGAUAUAUUUCCAUUACGGUUAUUAUCUCUAUGCUAUUGGCCAGAUCCAGAAGACGACUGCAUAUAAAGUGUAUGAAGCAUUGGUGACAUAUGAAGAGGUCGGCCCAGAAGAGAACUUGGAGUAACUUCUUACUCUCUUGAGUGAAAAAUCAUGAAGCAGCCCAUGAAGGAAUCCUAAGGAAAAAAAAUUAAAAAGCGAAUGGAAUCUUUUUAAAUGGAAAGCAGUUAUACAUUCAGCAAAGAAUACCAUUCCUUUUGAACCAUACCAAGUUCACUUCAUGUGAUCACAUAUCACAAAUUACCAAUUUGAAAUAAAAUUGCAUCUGUGUAUUAUUCCCCGAUUUGCUUAACCCAACUGGUGGUGCAUGUAUAGGAGGCAGCCACACCUCUUUCAUCCCUUAGUCGCUAAUAUAUCAUGCUCAUAAGGUCAUCAAAUGCAAAUAUAUUUAAGUUGAUAUCAGCAUUUCACUGAACUGAAUCGAAUAUACUGAACACAUUUAUUGAUGUAGACAGAAUAUGUAAUAGCUACCAGUUUUUAAAUCAGGAUUUCAUAAUUGUUGAUUUUUGUGCACAUUUUUUAU